RNAcentral lists this microRNA precursor (142 nucleotides) under Picea abies (Norway spruce). RNAcentral's name for it is "miR11427a stem-loop (pab-MIR11427a, pab-MIR11427b)". The record is from miRBase by way of RNAcentral. Lineage: Eukaryota; Viridiplantae; Streptophyta; Pinopsida; Pinales; Pinaceae.
UGAUAUUCUUGAUCCUCCAUUUUCGCUUUCGGUUUCAUAGACUUUUACCUGGCCCGCAGUGUUCGCUAAUAAUUUAGCGAACACUGCACGCUAUAUAGAAGUAGAUGAGACCGAAGGCGAGAAUGGAGCAUCAAGAAUAUCA